Melitaea cinxia (Glanville fritillary) is the source of this 599-nucleotide long non-coding RNA. RefSeq lists it as uncharacterized. Lineage: Eukaryota; Metazoa; Arthropoda; Insecta; Lepidoptera; Nymphalidae. The record is from RefSeq and is a predicted model, not a curated record. The transcript has 2 exons.
UAUCAUUAUAGUUUUAGCUGUACGGAAAUAUAUGUGAACAAUGUCUCAGCUUUAUUGACGUCACCUUACUGUAAGGUUUAUACUUUGCAUUGAAUUCCCGUGUGAAAGGUGAGCGACCCCGCUUUAAUUGAGACGCAUCAGUUGAAACCCGUGGUUCGCUGCACAUUUGCAGUUCACGACACGACUACGUCUCUCACAGCGGAGGCACCAGCUACCGGCUCACCUCUGCAUCCUCCAAGCUUGCCGACCACUCCGGAAGAGGUCGUCGCAAGCCGCUCUGCUCCAUCGCACGACCACUUGCGGAAGAGGCAGUUCUUCCCUUAGGCGCGUCUCCAUCGUCGGCCACAAGACCGAAGCGAGGAUUUCGGCCCCCAGUUCCCCCACCAGAGGACUGCUGGUGAGCAAGCACGAUGCGGUGUAGGACACCGAGCGGUAUGCUCUUGCGGCUCGCAGACCUCUACUAGCAUACCAUACCACAUAUGUAAACAUCAAUGCUUCAUACAUAAAAGAACAAUACAUUUACAAAUUUAGUACAUAUACCGUUAUUUUGAUAUAUAAGAUUUAUUUCAAAUGAUAAAUGUUUUGUUGCUUCAAUUAAA